GGGGGGGGGGGGGGGGGGGGGGGGGGGGGGGGGGGGGGGGGGGGGGGGGGGGGGGGGGGGGGGGGGGGGGGGGGGGGGGGGGGGGGGGGGGGGGGGGGGGGGGGGGGGGGGGGGGGGGGUCUAAAAUCCCCAUGGAAAAUCCUCCAGGAACUGGGAUUCACAUCCAGGGUGAGAAAUAAACCUCUAAAAUCCCCAUGGAAAAUCCCACUGAUGGAUUCAUUGGCUUGGGAAUCAGGAUAAGACUCUCAAUGGGAAGAACCUUCCAGGAACUGGGAUUCAUUGCCAGGGUGAGAAACACCCAUCAAAAAUCCCAUGGAAAAUCCUACAGAUGAUUUCCUUGGCUUGGGAAUCAGGGUAAGACUAUCAAUGGGAAGAAUCCUCCAAGAAUUGGGAUUCACAUCCAGGGUGAGAAAUAAACCUCUAAAAUCCCCAUGGAAAAUCCCACUGAUGGAUUCAUUGGCUUGGGAAUCAGGAUAAGACUCUCAAUGGGAAGAACCUUCCAGGAACUGGGAUUCAUUGCCAGGGUGAGAAACACCCAUCAAAAAUCCCAUGGAAAAUCCUACAGAUGAUUUCCUUGGCUUGGGAAUCAGGGUAAGACUCUCAAUGGGAAGAAUCCUCCAAGAAUUGGGAUUCACAUCCAGGGUGAGAAAUACACCUCCAAAUUCCCAUGGAAAAUCCUACAGAUGGAUUCAUUGGCUUGGGAAUCAGGGUAAGACUCUCAAUGGGAAGAAUCCUCCAAGAAUUGGGAUUCACAUCCAGGGUGAGAAAUAAACCUCUAAAAUCCCCAUGGAAAAUCCCACUGAUGGAUUCAUUGGCUUGGGAAUCAGGAUAAGACUCUCAAUGGGAAGAACCCUCCAAGAAUUGGGAUUCACAUCCAGGGUGAGAAACACCCAUCAAAAAUCCCAUUGAAAAUCCCACAGAUGAUUGCCCUGGCAAGACCCCGAAUGGUGAUGAUUAAAAAUCCCCCUUGAUUGAAAUUCCUCUUUUUUCCUCAUUGAAAAAGGAGGAGAAGAGGUGAGAAAAACGCGGGAACGAUACACCCCGAUGUGCCUUACGAGCAGCAAAGGGAACUUUUAAGCCACUCCAAACACUCCAACACAUCCCAGCGAGCCAGACCCCGAAACCACCACCAAGAAAACCCCAAGCGGAACACGAUCUGCCGCCGAGCUGGGGGUGGUCCCUGCGGCUCAGGGGGCCGGGGAGGGGGGCACACUCACCACGGGGGAGGGGGACAGGGCGAUGUUGCCCACGGACGCCCGGAGCUCGUCCACGGUGGCCGCGCUGCGCAGGGCGUCCUUGGCUUGCAGGGGCUUGAUCUUGAUGUUGAACUUCUUGUGCGCCUCCUCCUCCUCCUCCGACUCGCUGGAGGAGUAGAAGUGCUUUCCUUUGGUAGAUCCUGGUUCCUCGGGUCUGAUGCUGUAUCCCUCCUCAUCCAGCUCAGGUGAGUUCUGGAUAGGGAACAAAAAAAAAAAAAAAAACCAACCAAACAGGAAAAUCAGGAAUUAAUCCUCCUCUGGAGCUCUGACCCCAAAUAAAAGGGAGGAAAUCCCGAGCUGGGGAUGUCACUGCUGCACCCCAAGCACAUGGAGCUGCUGCUCCCAGGGUGAAUCCAGCCCAGGGUGUGGAUCCACGGCUGCAUUUCAUGGAAUUGCUCAGGCUGGAAAAGCCCGAUGGGAUAAUCAGGUCAAAUAUUCCCCAGCGCUGCCCCGUAUCCCAAAGUGCCACAUCCACA
This is a long non-coding RNA of Ficedula albicollis (Collared flycatcher), 1732 nucleotides long. Lineage: Eukaryota; Metazoa; Chordata; Aves; Passeriformes; Muscicapidae. The record is from Ensembl.